RNAcentral lists this long non-coding RNA (247 nucleotides) under Setaria italica (foxtail millet). RNAcentral describes it as "long non-coding RNA (SITA_LNC003694)". Lineage: Eukaryota; Viridiplantae; Streptophyta; Magnoliopsida; Poales; Poaceae. The record is from RNAcentral.
GAAAUUCAGAUGAUCAACGCCCUUCCAUGCGUGAUCGGCUGGGGGGCAGAAGCGACCGAUAUGAUCGGUCAGAAGGAAGAAGCUAUAAUAGGCAGGGGGGCAGGACCGAUCAACACGAUCAAUCAAAUAGCAAAGCCAGCGUCCACAGCCGGCUCGAAGAUAUGGCCGAUGCUCGGGUAACAGACGAAAACCCGUUAGGACGUGAGCCAGAAUGGGAACGCGCCGGAAAAGAAGGGAGGCCAAUAAA